CCCCGCCGUCUCCGCAGCCGCCUCCGCCGCCCGGGCGCUGCCUGGAGCCAGUGUGCGGGCUGGAGUGCAGUGGCGCAAUCUUAGCCCACCGCAACCUCUGCCUCCCGGGUUCAAGCAAUUCUCCUGCCUCAGCCUUCCGAGUAGCUGGGAUUACAGGGUCUUGCUCUGUCACCUAGGCUGGAGUGCAGUGGUGUGAUCACAGCUCACUGGAGCCUCGACCUCCUGGGAUCAAGCGAUUCUCUCACCUCAACCUUUGAACUUCUAGAUAAGUGGUUCUCAAAGUGUGGUCCUUCAACCAACAGCAUCAUCACCACCCAGGAACUUAUUAGAAAUGGAAGUUCUUGCACCCUGCCAAAACCAGAAACUGCGGAUGGGUCCCAGCAAUCUUUAUUUUAACGACUGUUAAAAUCAGAAUCAAGUGAUUCUGAUGCAAACUUAAGUUUGAAAACAUUGUUCUAUUAAAAGUAAUGGCAAAAACCGCAAUUACUUUUGCACCAACCUAAGAGCUCUGCACUGUUCAAUAUGGUAGCUUCUAACUAUUGAAUUUUUUAAUGCUAUUAUCUCCUUUAUUCAAAAAUAAAUAUUUCACUUUGAUUCAACAUAUUUCAAAUUACAUUAAGCACAGAGAGGAAAUACAUUCCCUUUGGAGAUUGUGAACACGUGUUGGAAAGAGGCAUGAUCCAAAUAAUGGGGAUGAGGUGAGUGUGGAUUCCAGCUGCUUCCUGACCCAGAAGUUCUGCCCCUCUUCAGGUGGAGCUACUUAUCGAUUUUUAGGCGAGAAAAAGACAGACACACACACACACACACACACACACACUGCUUUGAAGUCUGAAAGGCAUAUGAGUGGACCGUAAGGUAUAUGGCACGUUCACUGAUAAAACAUCCCCUACUCCCUCCCAAGAAAAGCAGAGACACUUUAAUCAAGUCAAAGGCCAGAGAAGGGCCUGGUGCAGUGGCUCACGCCUGUAUCCCAGCACUUUGGGAGGCCAAGGCGGGUGAAUCCCGAGGUCAGGAGUUCGAGACCAGC
This 1027-nucleotide long non-coding RNA is filed under the name Homo sapiens (human). RNAcentral describes it as "HSALNT0390055". Lineage: Eukaryota; Metazoa; Chordata; Mammalia; Primates; Hominidae. The record is from RNAcentral.